CCCAUUCUUUCGCCGGUCGCAAUGGAAGAAGAGAUCGCCGCGCUCGUCAUUGACAAUGGCUCCGGCAUGUGCAAAGCUGGCUUUGCUGGGGACGACGCUCCCCGAGCCGUGUUUCCUUCCAUCGUCGGGCGCCCCAGACACCAGGGCGUGAUGGUGGGCAUGGGCCAGAAGGACUCCUACGUGGGCGACGAGGCCCAGAGCAAGCGUGGCAUCCUGACCCUGAAGUACCCCAUCGAGCAUGGCAUCGUCACCAACUGGGACGACAUGGAGAAGAUCUGGCACCACACUUUCUACAACGAGCUGCGCGUGGCUCCGGAGGAGCAUCCAGUGCUGCUGACCGAGGCCCCCCUGAACCCCAAGGCCAACAGAGAGAAGAUGACUCAGGCUCUGUUCCUCUCCCGGCAUUUCCUCCCUGAAGCCUCCAGGUUUCUCAUUUGGUUUCUGCCUGCGUUCUUUUCUUUUCUCCACACAUCACACUGGCAUGCGGCAUGUUGUGGCGUGUGAGCAUGGGGUGGCCGUGGGUCUCUGUCCCCGAUUAAGCCGCCCCUUGUUCCUCCUCAGAUUAUGUUUGAGACCUUCAACACCCCGGCCAUGUACGUGGCCAUCCAGGCCGUGCUGUCCUUGUACGCUUCUGGGCGCACCACUGGCAUUGUCAUGGACUCUGGAGACGGGGUCACCCACACGGUGCCCAUCUACGAGGGCUACGCCCUCCCCCACGCUAUCCUGCGUCUGGACCUGGCUGGCCGGGACCUGACCGACUACCUCAUGAAGAUCCUCACCGAGCGAGGCUACAGCUUCACCACCACGGCCGAGCGGGAAAUCGUGCGCGACAUCAAGGAGAAGCUGUGCUACGUCGCCCUGGAUUUCGAGCAGGAGAUGGCCACCGCCGCAUCCUCCUCUUCGCUGGAGAAGAGCUACGAGCUGCCUGAUGGCCAGGUCAUCACCAUUGGCAAUGAGCGGUUCCGGUGUCCGGAGGCGCUGUUCCAGCCUUCUUUCUUGGGUAGGUGUUGUGAGCUAAAAGUUUCUGCUCUGUCAUCCUGGGCGACACAGCAUCACUAAGGGAGGGCUUUGUCACCUAGGCAUGGAAUCUUGCGGCAUCCACG
RNAcentral lists this small RNA (1103 nucleotides) under Pongo abelii (Sumatran orangutan). Its description in RNAcentral is "retained intron". The record is from RNAcentral. Lineage: Eukaryota; Metazoa; Chordata; Mammalia; Primates; Hominidae.